GAUGAACGCUGGCGGCGUGCCUAAUACAUGCAAGUCGAGCGAACGGACGAGAAGCUUGCUUCUCUGAUGUUAGCGGCGGACGGGUGAGUAACACGUGGAUAACCUACCUAUAAGACUGGGAUAACUUCGGGAAACCGGAGCUAAUACCGGAUAAUAUUUUGAACCGCAUGGUUCAAAAGUGAAAGACGGUCUUGCUGUCACUUAUAGAUGGAUCCGCGCUGCAUUAGCUAGUUGGUAAGGUAACGGCUUACCAAGGCAACGAUGCAUAGCCGACCUGAGAGGGUGAUCGGCCACACUGGAACUGAGACACGGUCCAGACUCCUACGGGAGGCAGCAGUAGGGAAUCUUCCGCAAUGGGCGAAAGCCUGACGGAGCAACGCCGCGUGAGUGAUGAAGGCCUUCGGAUCGUAAAACUCUGUUAUUAGGGAAGAACAGAUGUGUAAGUAACUGUGCACAUCUUGACGGUACCUAAUCAGAAAGCCACGGCUAACUACGUG
Molecule: ribosomal RNA, 497 nt
Filed under: uncultured bacterium
Lineage: Bacteria
Description: partial 16S ribosomal RNA
Rfam family: Bacterial small subunit ribosomal RNA
Source: RNAcentral